AUAAUAUCUACGGAUGAAAGAUGGCCUCUAUUUAUAUGCUAUCGCUAAAGGAUUGGCCUAUGUCGCAUUAGCUUGUUGGUAAGGUAACGGCUUACCAAGGCGACGAUGCGUAGCUGGUCUGAGAGGAUGAUCAGCCACACUGGGACUGAGACACGGCCCAGACUCCUACGGGAGGCAGCAGUGGGGAAUUUUGCACAAUGGAGGAAACUCUGAUGCAGCAACGCCGCGUGAGUGAAGAAGGCCCUUGGGUCGUAAAGCUCUUUC
This 264-nucleotide ribosomal RNA is filed under the name uncultured Gammaproteobacteria bacterium. RNAcentral's name for it is "partial 16S ribosomal RNA". It matches the Rfam family "Bacterial small subunit ribosomal RNA", at positions 173 to 437 of the family's 1533-position model. The record is from RNAcentral. Lineage: Bacteria; Pseudomonadati; Pseudomonadota; Gammaproteobacteria.